UGGUAAUUAGUUUAACAAAAACAAAUGAUUUCGACUCAUUAGAUUAUGAUCAUUUUCAUAAUUAUCAA
This 68-nucleotide transfer RNA is filed under the name Epomophorus wahlbergi (Wahlberg's epauletted fruit bat). RNAcentral describes it as "tRNA-Arg". It matches the Rfam family "tRNA". Rfam says of the family: Transfer RNA (tRNA) molecules are approximately 80 nucleotides in length. Their secondary structure includes four short double-helical elements and three loops (D, anti-codon, and T loops). The record is from RNAcentral. Lineage: Eukaryota; Metazoa; Chordata; Mammalia; Chiroptera; Pteropodidae. RNAcentral also lists the same sequence under 1 other name.